GCCUAGUCAAGAUGAAGCCAGAGGAAACUCUGGUGGAUGUCUGAAGUUAUUCUGACGUGCAAAUCGAUAAUCUGAUCUGGGUAUAGGGGCGAAAGACUAAUCGAACCAUCUAGUAGCUGGUUCCUUCCGAAGUUUCCCUCAGGAUAGCAAGCGUACACCUUUAGUUUCAUCCCGUAAAGCGAAUGAUUAGAGGCCUUGGGGCGUAUUUAGCCUCAACCUAUUCUCAAACUUUUAAUGGGUGUGAGUGUUCUUUCUCAAUUGAAGAACGCUGCUAAAUAAGUAUGCUUAGUGGGCCAUUUUUGGUAAGCAGAACUGGCGCUGUGGGUUGAACCAAUUGUUGAGUUAAAGUGCCUAAAGCUGGAAUGCGCAUGAGAUCUAUAAAGGGUGUUAGUUGCUGAAGACAGCAGGACGGUGGCCAUGGAAGUCGAAC
This 430-nucleotide ribosomal RNA is filed under the name Hypoaspis rosei. RNAcentral describes it as "eukaryotic LSU rRNA". It matches the Rfam family "Eukaryotic large subunit ribosomal RNA", at positions 835 to 1266 of the family's 3401-position model. Lineage: Eukaryota; Metazoa; Arthropoda; Arachnida; Mesostigmata; Laelapidae. The record is from RNAcentral.